CCUACGGGUGGCUGCAGUGAGGAAUAUUGGUCAAUGGACGCAAGUCUGAACCAGCCAUGCCGCGUGCAGGAAGACGGCUCUAUGUGUUGUAAACUGCUUUUGUAAGAGGGUAAACGCAGAUACGCGUCUCUGUCUGAAAGUAUCGUACGAAUAAGCAUCGGCUAACUCCGUGCCAGCAGCCGCGGUAAUACGGAGGAUUCAAGCGUUAUCCGGAUUUAUUGGGUUUAAAGGGUGCGUAGGCGGUCGGGUAAGUUAGAGGUGAAAUCCCGAGGCUCAACUCCGGAAUUGCCUCUGAUACUGGUCGGCUAGAGAGGAGUUGCGGUAGGCGGAAUGUAUGGUGUAGCGGUGAAAUGCUUAGAGAUCGUACAGAACACCGAUUGCGAAGGCAGCUUACCGAGCUACUUCUGACGUUGAGGCACGAAAGCGUGGGGAGCGAACAGAAUUAGAUACCCUGGUAGUC
Molecule: ribosomal RNA, 460 nt
Filed under: uncultured bacterium
Lineage: Bacteria
Description: partial 16S ribosomal RNA
Rfam family: Bacterial small subunit ribosomal RNA
Source: RNAcentral